RNAcentral lists this transfer RNA (98 nucleotides) under Nadsonia fulvescens var. elongata DSM 6958. It matches the Rfam family "tRNA". From Rfam's summary of the family: Transfer RNA (tRNA) molecules are approximately 80 nucleotides in length. Their secondary structure includes four short double-helical elements and three loops (D, anti-codon, and T loops). Further hydrogen bonds mediate the characteristic L-shaped molecular structure. tRNAs have two regions of fundamental functional importance: the anti-codon, which is responsible for specific mRNA codon recognition, and the 3' end, to which the tRNAs corresponding amino acid is attached (by aminoacyl-tRNA synthetases). tRNAs cope with the degeneracy of the genetic code in two manners: having more than one tRNA (with a specific anti-codon) for a particular amino acid; and 'wobble' base-pairing, i.e. permitting non-standard base-pairing at the 3rd anti-codon position. The record is from Rfam by way of RNAcentral. Lineage: Eukaryota; Fungi; Ascomycota; Dipodascomycetes; Dipodascales.
GCCUAGCUAGCUCAAUCGGUAGAGCGUGUGACUCUUAAAAUCCAGAAACAGGAAAUAAAGUCAUCACAAGGUUGGGGGUUCGACCCCCCCGUUGGGCU